GUAACUAUAACGGUCCUAAGGUAGCGAAAUUCCUUGUCGGGUAAGUUCCGACCUGCACGAAUGGCGUAAUGAUGGCCAGGCUGUCUCCACCCGAGACUCAGUGAAAUUGAACUCGCUGUGAAGAUGCAGUGUACCCGCGGCAAGACGGAAAGACCCCGUGAACCUUUACUAUAGCUUGACACUGAACAUUGAGCCUUGAUGUGUAGGAUAGGUGGGAGGCUUUGAAGUGUGGACGCCAGUCUGCAUGGAGCCGACCUUGAAAUACCACCCUUUAAUGUUUGAUGUUCUAACGUGGACCCGUAAUCCGGGUUGCGGACAGUGUCUGGUGGGUAGUUUGACUGGGGCGGUCUCCUCCUAAAGAGUAACGGAGGAGCACGAAGGUUGGCUAAUCCUGGUCGGACAUCAGGAGGUUAGUGCAAUGGCAUAAGCCAGCUUGACUGCGAGCGUGACGGCGCGAGCAGGUGCGAAAGCAGGUCAUAGUGAUCCGGUGGUUCUGAAUGGAAGGGCCAUCGCUCAACGGAUAAAAGGUACUCCGGGGAUAACAGGCUGAUACCGCCCAAGAGUUCAUAUCGACGGCGGUGUUUGGCACCUCGAUGUCGGCUCAUCACAUCCUGGGGCUGAAGUAGGUCCCAAGGGUAUGGCUGUUCGCCAUUUAAAGUGGUACGCGAGCUGGGUUUAGAACGUCGUGAGACAGUUCGGUCCCUAUCUGCCGUGGGCGCUGGAGAACUGAGGGGGGCUGCUCCUAGUACGAGAGGACCGGAGUGGACGCAUCACUGGUGUUCGGGUUGUCAUGCCAAUGGCACUGCCCGGUAGCUAAAUGCGGAAGAGAUAAGUGCUGAAAGCAUCUAAGCACGAAACUUGCCCCGAGAUGAGUUCUCCCUGAGACUUAGAGUCUCCUGAAGGAACGUUGAAGACGACGACGUUGAUAGGCCGGGUGUGUAAGCGCAGCGAUGCGUUGAGCUAACCGGUACUAAUGAACCGUGAGGCUUAACCUU
Molecule: ribosomal RNA, 995 nt
Filed under: Salmonella enterica subsp. enterica serovar Hvittingfoss str. A4-620
Lineage: Bacteria; Pseudomonadati; Pseudomonadota; Gammaproteobacteria; Enterobacterales; Enterobacteriaceae
Description: LSU rRNA
Rfam family: Bacterial large subunit ribosomal RNA
Source: RNAcentral